Molecule: ribosomal RNA, 486 nt
Filed under: uncultured Latescibacterota bacterium
Lineage: Bacteria; Pseudomonadati; Candidatus Latescibacterota
Description: bacterial SSU rRNA
Rfam family: Bacterial small subunit ribosomal RNA
Source: RNAcentral
UUAAAUGAAGUUGACGGGGGCCCGCACAAGCGGUGGAGUAUGUGGUUUAAUUCGACGCAACGCGAAGAACCUUACCGGGGUUUGACAUGCAGGUGAUCGCCCGUUGAAAGACGGUUUCUCUUCGGAGGCACCUGCACAGGUGCUGCAUGGCUGUCGUCAGCUCGUGUCGUGAGAUGUUGGGUUAAGUCCCGCAACGAGCGCAACCCUUAUCCCCAGUUGCCAUCAGGUAAAGCUGGGAACUCUGGGGAGACUGCCGGUGAUAAACCGGAGGAAGGCGGGGAUGACGUCAAGUCCUCAUGGCCCUUACACCCCGGGCUACACACGUGCUACAAUGGCAGGUACAGAGGGCUGCGAAGCCGCGAGGUGGAGCGAAUCCCAGAAAACCUGUCUCAGUCCGGAUUGAAGUCUGCAACUCGACUUCAUGAAGGCGGAAUCGCUAGUAACCGCGAAUCAGCAGGUCCGCGGUCGAAUACGUUCCCGGGCCUU